This 419-nucleotide ribosomal RNA is filed under the name uncultured archaeon. RNAcentral describes it as "partial 16S ribosomal RNA". It matches the Rfam family "Archaeal small subunit ribosomal RNA", at positions 323 to 746 of the family's 1478-position model. The record is from RNAcentral.
CUACGGGAGGCUGCAGUUAGGAAUAAUCUACAAUGCACGCAAGUGUGAUAGUUUGAGCCAGAGUGCGAUUCAAUGAAUCGCUUUUGCUAAAUUUAAAAAGUUUGGCGAAUAAGGACUGGGUAAGACGAGUGCCAGCCGCAGGGUAAUACUCGCGGUCCAAGUCGCAGCCAUUUUUAUUGGGUCUAAAACAUCCGUAGCUUGCUUGAUAAGUUUCUUGUGAAAUCCGGCUUCUUAAGAGUUGGGCGCGCAAGAAAUACUGUUAAGCUAGAGACCGGAAGACGUAAGAAGUACGUUCGAAGUAUCGGUAAAAUGAGUUAAUCUCGGACGGACUAACAAUAGCGAAGGCAUCUUACGAGGACGGUUCUGACAGUAAGGGAUGAAGGCUAGGGGCGCAAAACGGAUUAGAUACCCGCGUAGUC